RNAcentral lists this ribosomal RNA (281 nucleotides) under uncultured bacterium. Its description in RNAcentral is "partial 16S ribosomal RNA". It matches the Rfam family "Bacterial small subunit ribosomal RNA", at positions 505 to 784 of the family's 1533-position model. The record is from RNAcentral.
GUGCCAGCAGCCGCGGUAAUACGUAGGGGGCGAGCGUUGUCCGGAUUUAUUGGGCGUAAAGAGCUCGUAGGCGGUUCAACAAGUCGGUCGUGAAAGUUCAGGGCUCGACCCUGAAAUGUCGAUCGAUACUGUUGUGACUAGGAUACGGUAGAGGUGAGUGGAACUCCGAGUGUAGCGGUGAAAUGCGUAGGUAUUCGGAGGAACACCAAUUGCGAAGGCAGCUCACUGGGCCGCUAUCGACGCUGAGGAGCGAAAGCUAGGGGAGCAAACAGGAUUAGAUA